AUUGAACGCUGGCGGCAGGCCUAACACAUGCAAGUCGAACGGCAGCACAGAAGAGCUUGCUCUUUGGGUGGCGAGUGGCGGACGGGUGAGUAAUGUCUGGGAAACUGCCCGAUGGAGGGGGAUAACUACUGGAAACGGUAGCUAAUACCGCAUAACGUCGCGAGACCAAAGUGGGGGACCUUCGGGCCUCACACCAUCGGAUGUGCCCAGAUGGGAUUAGCUAGUAGGUGGGGUAAUGGCUCACCUAGGCGACGAUCCCUAGCUAGUCUGAGAGGAUGACCAGCCACACUGGAACUGAGACACGGCCCAGACUCCUACGGGAGGCAGCAGUGGGGAAUAUUGCACAAUGGGCGCACGCCUGAUGCAGCCAUGCCGCGUGUAUGAAGAAGGCCUUCGGGUUGUAAAGUACUUUCAGCGGGGAGGAAGGCGGUGAGGUUAAUAACCUUGCCGAUUGACGUUACCCGCAGAAGAAGCACCGGCUAACUCCGUGCCAGCCGCCGCGGUAA
This 506-nucleotide ribosomal RNA is filed under the name uncultured bacterium. Its description in RNAcentral is "partial 16S ribosomal RNA". It matches the Rfam family "Bacterial small subunit ribosomal RNA", at positions 30 to 523 of the family's 1533-position model. The record is from RNAcentral.